AAGUCGUAACAAGGUUUCCGUAGGUGAACCUGCGGAAGGAUCAUUAACACGUAUCCAACGUUAAACAACCCCGUGAACCUUCAGCCUGCUCUCGUAGCCCACGCGGCAACAGCAAUCCCGGUAAAUCAUUGACGACCAGUUUUGAUUCGGGACCUCUGUUACGAUGUGAGAAGUUACAGUUACGAUCGAGCGGUAGAGUCAGUGGCAUGGCGUCCCCAAGCAGAAUCCAGAGAAUGAAAGGAUGAUCACCGACCGGCAGACAUGUCACAGGGUCCCCAUGCCCCUUACCUCACCCCAUUACUAAUGACUAGCUUAGCGGUAACGCGCUGAGUAAAAAAAAACCGAACAACUGUUAACAAUGGAUAUCUUGGUUCUC
RNAcentral lists this unclassified non-coding RNA (376 nucleotides) under fungal sp. Its description in RNAcentral is "partial internal transcribed spacer region". The stretch from base 1 to 46 matches the Rfam family "Eukaryotic small subunit ribosomal RNA", at positions 1786 to 1831 of the family's 1831-position model. Lineage: Eukaryota; Fungi. The record is from RNAcentral.